GACGAACGCUGGCGGCGUGCCUAAUACAUGCAAGUUGAGCGCUGAAGGUUGGUACUUGUACCAACUGGAUGAGCAGCGAACGGGUGAGUAACGCGUGGGGAAUCUGCCUUUGAGCGGGGGACAACAUUUGGAAACGAAUGCUAAUACCGCAUAAAAACUUUAAACACAAGUUUUAAGUUUGAAAGAUGCAAUUGCAUCACUCAAAGAUGAUCCCGCGUUGUAUUAGCUAGUUGGUGAGGUAAAGGCUCACCAAGGCGAUGAUACAUAGCCGACCUGAGAGGGUGAGCGGCCACAUUGGGAAUGAGACACGGCCCAAACUCCUACGGGAGGCAGCAGUAGGGAAACUUCGGCAAUGGACGAAAGUCUGACCGAGCAACGCCGCGUGAGUGAAGAAGGGUUUCGGAUCGUAAAACUCUGUUGGUAGAGAAGAACGUUGGUGAGAGUGGAAAGCUCAUCAAGUGACGGUAACUACCCAGAAAGGGACGGCUAACUACGUG
This 497-nucleotide ribosomal RNA is filed under the name uncultured bacterium. Its description in RNAcentral is "partial 16S ribosomal RNA". It matches the Rfam family "Bacterial small subunit ribosomal RNA", at positions 28 to 507 of the family's 1533-position model. The record is from RNAcentral.